GGGAGUAUAGCUCAGUGGUACAGCACAUGCUUAGUAUGCCUAAGGUCCUGGGUUCAAUCCCCAUUACCUCCA
This 72-nucleotide transfer RNA is filed under the name Camelus bactrianus (Bactrian camel). It matches the Rfam family "tRNA". Rfam says of the family: Transfer RNA (tRNA) molecules are approximately 80 nucleotides in length. Lineage: Eukaryota; Metazoa; Chordata; Mammalia; Artiodactyla; Camelidae. The record is from Rfam by way of RNAcentral. RNAcentral also lists the same sequence under 1 other name.